AUUCCAGCUCCAAUAGCGUAUAUUUAAGUUGUUGCAGUUAAAAAGCUCGUAGUUGGAUUUCGGGUGAGGAUGACCGGUCUGCCGUUGCGGUACGCACUGGACGUUUUCAUCUUGUUGUCGGGGACGCGCUUCUGGGCUUCACUGUUCGGGACGCGGAGUCGGCGCUGUUACUUUGAAAAAAUUAGAGUGUUCAAAGCAGGCAAUCGCUCUGAAUACAUUAGCAUGGAAUAACGCUAUAGGACUCUGGUCCUAUUGUGUUGGUCUUCGGGACCGGAGUAAUGAUUAAGAGGGACAGUUGGGGGCAUUCGUAUUUCAUUGUCAGAGGUGAAAUUCUCGGAUUUAUGAAAGACGAACUUCUGCGAAAGCAUUUGCCAAGGAUGUUUUCAUUA
This 389-nucleotide ribosomal RNA is filed under the name Pyramimonadales sp. Its description in RNAcentral is "partial small subunit ribosomal RNA". It matches the Rfam family "Eukaryotic small subunit ribosomal RNA", at positions 582 to 975 of the family's 1831-position model. The record is from RNAcentral. Lineage: Eukaryota; Viridiplantae; Chlorophyta; Pyramimonadophyceae; Pyramimonadales.